GGAUGAAGAACGCAGCGAAAUGCGAUAAGUAAUGCGAAUUGCAGAAUUCCAGUGAGUCAUCGAAUCUUUGAACGCACAUUGCGCCCUUUGGUAUUCCGAAGGGCAUGCCUGUUCGAGCGUCAUUAUCACCCCUCAAGCCCUCGGCUUGGUGUUGGACGGUUUGGUGGAGGCCCCCUCGGGGGCUCCUGCCCCUCCCAAAGACAAUGACGGCGGCCUCGUUGGACCCCCGGUACACUGAGUUCUUCACGGGACACGUAUCGGACACAUGGGUUUACGGGACACGGUCUGCCUCCCCUCAGGGAGAAUCUUUCUAAGGUUGACCUCGGAUCAGGUAGGGAUACCCGCUGAACUUAAGCAUAUCAAUAAGCGGAGGA
This 374-nucleotide unclassified non-coding RNA is filed under the name soil metagenome. Its description in RNAcentral is "partial contains 5.8S ribosomal RNA, internal transcribed spacer 2, and large subunit ribosomal RNA". The stretch from base 2 to 122 matches the Rfam family "5.8S ribosomal RNA", at positions 35 to 154 of the family's 154-position model. The record is from RNAcentral.